UACGGAGGGUGCGAGCGUUGUCCGGGAUCAUUGGGCGUAAAGGGCGCGUAGGUGGCGGGACAAGCGUGCGGUGAAAGCCUGGGGCUCAACCCCGGGUCGGCCGUGCGAACUGUUUUGCUUGAGCACUGUAGAGGCAGGCGGAAUUCCGGGUGUAGCGGUGGAAUGCGUAGAGAUCCGGAAGAACACCGGUGGCGAAGGCGGCCUGCUGGGCAGUAGCUGACACUGAGGCGCGACAGCGUGGGGAGCAAACAGG
Molecule: ribosomal RNA, 253 nt
Filed under: uncultured bacterium
Lineage: Bacteria
Description: partial 16S ribosomal RNA
Rfam family: Bacterial small subunit ribosomal RNA
Source: RNAcentral